CGUCGUCGCCCUACUCUCUCACGCUCCAGCGCCGCCGCCCACCCCUUCGAUCUUCCUCUAGUGCUGCUCCCCUACCCUUCGAGCUCCCUCCAAGCUAUCGUCGGGACAUGACACCACCGCUCAUCAAGCGUCACCGCUCUGUCCUUCAAGCUCCCUCCAGCACUGCCGCUGCUUCCCAUCAGAUCGACGCCUACUCUCCCGAGAAAUCAGUCCGGCUCAGGAGCACACAAACAACUCCGGGUUCAUCGGCGGUGGCAUGUGGACACCACCAGCGAGGAGCCUAGAACGACGCUGGCUACGUGCGUGCGGGACUAGACGAUUCACAUGGCCGCCGGUUUGUUCCGGUCCUUCCCUCCGUUCCCGUUGCCCAGCGCCCACAUCAACUGCAGUCAGCCUCCAGGCGCCACCGCCGCCCCAGGCUCCGACGCGCCGGGCGCGUCCUCUUCCUCCUUUGGCUCGCUGAGGUUGUCACCAGUAGAAAAAAGCUUAAAAACUACAA
This is a long non-coding RNA of Zea mays, 499 nucleotides long. RefSeq lists it as uncharacterized. The transcript has 2 exons. The record is from RefSeq and is a predicted model, not a curated record. Lineage: Eukaryota; Viridiplantae; Streptophyta; Magnoliopsida; Poales; Poaceae.